This 1183-nucleotide ribosomal RNA is filed under the name Acinetobacter nectaris. RNAcentral's name for it is "bacterial SSU rRNA". It matches the Rfam family "Bacterial small subunit ribosomal RNA", at positions 167 to 1339 of the family's 1533-position model. The record is from RNAcentral. Lineage: Bacteria; Pseudomonadati; Pseudomonadota; Gammaproteobacteria; Moraxellales; Moraxellaceae.
UACCGCAUACGCCCUACGGGGGAAAGCAGGGGAUCUUCGGACCUUGCGCUAAUAGAUGAGCCUAAGUCGGAUUAGCUAGUUGGUGGGGUAAAGGCCUACCAAGGCGACGAUCUGUAGCGGGUUUGAGAGGAUGAUCCGCCACACUGGGACUGAGACACGGCCCAGACUCCUACGGGAGGCAGCAGUGGGGAAUAUUGGACAAUGGGCGCAAGCCUGAUCCAGCCAUGCCGCGUGUGUGAAGAAGGCCUUAUGGUUGUAAAGCACUUUAAGCGAGGAGGAGGCUUACCUAGCUAAUAUCUAGGCUAAGUGGACGUUACUCGCAGAAUAAGCACCGGCUAACUCUGUGCCAGCAGCCGCGGUAAUACAGAGGGUGCAAGCGUUAAUCGGAAUUACUGGGCGUAAAGCGCGCGUAGGUGGCCAUUUAAGUCAAAUGUGAAAUCCCCGAGCUUAACUUGGGAAUUGCAUUCGAUACUGGAUGGCUAGAGUAUAGGAGAGGAAGGUAGAAUUCCAGGUGUAGCGGUGAAAUGCGUAGAGAUCUGGAGGAAUACCGAUGGCGAAGGCAGCCUUCUGGCCUAAUACUGACACUGAGGUGCGAAAGCAUGGGGAGCAAACAGGAUUAGAUACCCCUGGUAGUCCCAUGCCCGUAAACGAAUGUCUACUAGCCCGUUGGGUCCUUUGAGGACCUUAGUGGCGCAGCUAACGCGAUAAGUAGACCGCCUGGGGAGUACGGUCGCAAGACUAAAACUCAAAUGAAUUGACGGGGGCCCGCACAAGCGGUGGAGCAUGUGGUUUAAUUCGAUGCAACGCGAAGAACCUUACCUGGCCUUGACAUACUAAGAACUUUCUAGAGAUAGAUUGGUGCCUUCGGGAACUUAGAUACAGGUGCUGCAUGGCUGUCGUCAGCUCGUGUCGUGAGAUGUUGGGUUAAGUCCCGCAACGAGCGCAACCCUUUUCCUUACUUGCCAGCAUUUCGGAUGGGAACUUUAAGGAUACUGCCAGUGACAAACUGGAGGAAGGCGGGGACGACGUCAAGUCAUCAUGGCCCUUACGGCCAGGGCUACACACGUGCUACAAUGGUCGGUACAGAGGGUUGCUACACAGCGAUGUGAUGCUAAUCUCAAAAAGCCGAUCGUAGUCCGGAUUGGAGUCUGCAACUCGACUCCAUGAAGUCGGAAUCGCUAGU